This 587-nucleotide ribosomal RNA is filed under the name uncultured Rhizoscyphus. RNAcentral's name for it is "eukaryotic LSU rRNA". The stretch from base 229 to 382 matches the Rfam family "5.8S ribosomal RNA". The record is from RNAcentral. Lineage: Eukaryota; Fungi; Ascomycota; Leotiomycetes; Helotiales; Helotiaceae.
UGGUCAUUUAGAGGAAGUAAAAGUCGUAACAAGGUUUCCGUAGGUGAACCUGCGGAAGGAUCAUUAAAGAAUGCCCCGUUUUUUGAAAUGGGUUCUAUUCCCAAACCGUGUAUACAUACCUUUGUUGCUUUGGCAGGCCGCCUUCGGGCGUCGGCUCACGCUGACCGCGCCUGCCAGAGGACCCAAACUCGUUUGUUUAGUGAUGUCUGAGUACUAUAUAAUAGCUAAAACUUUCAACAACGGAUCUCUUGGUUCUGGCAUCGAUGAAGAACGCAGCGAAAUGCGAUAAGUAAUGUGAAUUGCAGAAUUCAGUGAAUCAUCGAAUCUUUGAACGCACAUUGCGCCCCUUGGUAUUCCGAGGGGCAUGCCUGUUCGAGCGUCAUUAUGACCACUCAAGCCUAGCUUGGUAUUGGGGUUCGCGGUCUCGCGGCCCUUAAAAUCAGUGGCGGUGCCAUCUGGCUCUAAGCGUAGUAAUUUAUCUCGCUAUUGGGUCCGGUGGUUGCUUGCCAACAACCCCCAACUUCUAAGGUUGACCUCGGAUCAGGUAGGGAUACCCGCUGAACUUAAGCAUAUCAAUAAGCGGAGGA